UACGUAGGAGACGAGCGUUGUCCGGAAUUACUGGGCGUAAAGCGCGUGUAGGCGGAUGGGCAAGUCUGCUGUGAAAGCUCCUGGCUUAACCGGGAGUGGUCGGUGGAAACUGCCAAUCUGGAGGACGGUAGAGGUAGGUAGAAUUCCCGGUGUAGUGGUGAAAUGCGUAGAGAUCGGGAGGAACACCUGUGGCGAAGGCGGCCCCCUGGGCCGGCCCUGACACUGAGACGCGAAGGCGUGGGGAGCGAACGGG
This 253-nucleotide ribosomal RNA is filed under the name uncultured bacterium. Its description in RNAcentral is "partial 16S ribosomal RNA". It matches the Rfam family "Bacterial small subunit ribosomal RNA", at positions 524 to 776 of the family's 1533-position model. The record is from RNAcentral.